UACGUAGGGGGCAAGCGUUGUCCGGAUUUAUUGGGCGUAAAGAGCGUGUAGGCGGUUUGGUAGGUCCGCUGUGAAAACUCGAGGCUCAACCUCGAGACGCCGGUGGAAACCAUCAGACUAGAGUCCGGAAGAGGAGAGUGGAAUUCCUGGUGUAGCGGUGAAAUGCGCAGAUAUCGGGAGGAACACCAAUGGCGAAGGCAGCUCGCUGGGACGGUACUGACGCUGAGACGCGAAAGCGUGGGGAGCAAACAGG
RNAcentral lists this ribosomal RNA (253 nucleotides) under uncultured bacterium. RNAcentral's name for it is "partial 16S ribosomal RNA". It matches the Rfam family "Bacterial small subunit ribosomal RNA", at positions 524 to 776 of the family's 1533-position model. The record is from RNAcentral.